Molecule: ribosomal RNA, 826 nt
Filed under: Lactiplantibacillus plantarum
Lineage: Bacteria; Bacillati; Bacillota; Bacilli; Lactobacillales; Lactobacillaceae
Description: bacterial SSU rRNA
Rfam family: Bacterial small subunit ribosomal RNA
Source: RNAcentral
GAACUUCUGGUAUUGAUUGGUGCUUGCAUUCAUGAUUUACAUUUUGAGUGAGUGGCGAACUUGGUGAGUAACACGUGGGAAACCUGCCCAGAAGCGGGGGAUAACACCUGGAAACAGAUGCUAAUACCGCAUAACAACUUGGACCGCAUGGUCCGAGUUUGAAAGAUGGCUUCGGCUAUCACUUUUGGAUGGUCCCGCGGCGUAUUAGCUAGAUGGUGGGGUAACGGCUCACCAUGGCAAUGAUACGUAGCCGACCUGAGAGGGUAAUCGGCCACAUUGGGACUGAGACACGGCCCAAACUCCUACGGGAGGCAGCAGUAGGGAAUCUUCCACAAUGGACGAAAGUCUGAUGGAGCAACGCCGCGUGAGUGAAGAAGGGUUUCGGCUCGUAAAACUCUGUUGUUAAAGAAGAACAUAUCUGAGAGUAACUGUUCAGGUAUUGACGGUAUUUAACCAGAAAGCCACGGCUAACUACGUGCCAGCAGCCGCGGUAAUACGUAGGUGGCAAGCGUUGUCCGGAUUUAUUGGGGCGUAAAGCGAGCGCAGGCGGUUUUUUAAGUCUGAUGUGAAAGCCUUCGGCUCAACCGAAGAAGUGCAUCGGAAACUGGGAAACUUGAGUGCAGAAGAGGACAGUGGAACUCCAUGUGUAGCGGUGAAAUGCGUAGAUAUAUGGAAGAACACCAGUGGCGAAAGCGGCUGUCUGGUCUGUAACUGACGCUGAGGCUCGAAAGUAUGGGUAGCAAACAGGAUUAGAUACCCUGGUAGUCCAUACCGUAACGAUGAAUGCUAAGUGUUGGAGGGUUUCCGCCCUUCAGUGCUGCAGCUA